Molecule: long non-coding RNA, 359 nt
Organism: Fopius arisanus
Lineage: Eukaryota; Metazoa; Arthropoda; Insecta; Hymenoptera; Braconidae
Exons: 3
Source: RefSeq, a predicted model, not a curated record
UGAGCUUCGUCAGGUCUUCGGCGUCCCAGUACGUAUAAAUCAGGAAAUUACUCAGCGCUGUUCCUGAUCCAUGAAGCGGAUAAAUUCCAAUCGGUGUCAGCAGAGUUCGAGAUAUCUUCACGACGUAAUUAAUAUUCGUUUCGCAAUCAGUGUUCUUGUAUUUUGUAGGAGUUGUUUCUAGUCUUUCCAUUUUGGUGGGAUUGACGGUUGGAGCACUUUUGAGGUAAAUCAUGGGAAUCGUCAGUGAAGAGGCUAUUCUCAACGCUUGCGCUUGAAUUUUUCAGAUGUUGGGGUGAACGAAGCAAAGUGGAACGACAGCUAAAAAUGCUCGAGUUGUACUUUCCAUGGAUUGAAAAAGG